RNAcentral lists this ribosomal RNA (775 nucleotides) under uncultured Neocallimastigales. RNAcentral describes it as "partial large subunit ribosomal RNA". It matches the Rfam family "Eukaryotic large subunit ribosomal RNA", at positions 23 to 648 of the family's 3401-position model. The record is from RNAcentral. Lineage: Eukaryota; Fungi; Neocallimastigomycota; Neocallimastigomycetes; Neocallimastigales.
AGACUCUGUGCGCGUGCAUAUCAAUAAGCGGAGGAAAAGAAACUAACUAGGAUUCCCUUAGUAACGGCGAGUGAAGCGGGAAGAGCUCAAAUUUGAAAUCUUCAAGGUUCUACCUUGACGAAUUGUAGUUUAUAGAAGUGUUUUCUGUUAGGAGUUGGCUAAAAGUUCUUUGGAAUAGGACAUCAUAGAGGGUGAGAAUCCCGUAUUUGAUCAUUCUUUCUAAGCGUUGUGAUACACUUUCAACGAGUCGGAUUGUUUGGGAAUGCAGUCCAAAAUGGGUGGUAAAUUUCAUCUAAAGCCUAAAUAUUGGCGAGAGACCGAUAGCGAACAAGUACCGUGAGGGAAAGAUGAAAAGAACUUUGAAAAGAGAGUUAAACAGUACGUGAAAUUGUCAAAAGGGAAGCGUUUGACACCAGUGUUGUUUUUCCGAAAAUCAAUUACGAAUGUUUUGUUUUUGAGAAGUUAUGACUUCAUCGGCUUGCUUCUCUCUUUACGAAACCUUCUUAAUGCACUUUUCGGUUAACAAGUCAACAUCAAUUUCUUUUGUUGUAAAAGGGUAUGAGGAAGGUGGCUUUCUUUUCGGAGAAAGUGUUUAUAGCCUUGUGCCUCUGCAAUCGGAGAGAUUGAGGUCUGCAGCGUAGAUCCUUCGGGGUUAGAUACAUUUGUGCUAAGUUAUAGCUUUUCAUAGACAACUUGUUGACUAUGUUAAGUCUUGUAGCUUACUCGCUUAUGCUAUUUUACCUACGCUUAGGAUGUUGACGAUCAGCUGAGCGCG